CUACGGGGGGCAGCAGUGAGGAAUAUUGCACAAUGGGGGGAACCCUGAUGCAGCAACGCCGCGUGGAGGAUGACGCAUUUCGGUGUGUAAACUCCUUUUAUAUGUCAAGAAAAUGACGGUAGCAUAUGAAUAAGCACCGGCUAACUCCGUGCCAGCAGCCGCGGUAAUACGGAGGGUGCAAGCGUUACUCGGAAUCACUGGGCGUAAAGGACGCGUAGGCGGGUUGGAAAGUCAGGUGUGAAAUCCUACAGCUUAACUGUAGAACUGCACUUGAAACUUCUAAUCUAGAGUAUGGGAGGGGGAGAUGGAAUUAGUGGUGUAGGGGUAAAAUCCGUAGAUAUCACUAGGAAUACCUAAAGCGAAGGCGAUCUCCUGGAACAUUACUGACGCUAAGGCGUGAAAGCGUGGGGAGCAAACAGGAUUAGAUACCCGUGUAGUC
This 439-nucleotide ribosomal RNA is filed under the name uncultured bacterium. RNAcentral describes it as "partial 16S ribosomal RNA". It matches the Rfam family "Bacterial small subunit ribosomal RNA", at positions 339 to 795 of the family's 1533-position model. The record is from RNAcentral.